Molecule: long non-coding RNA, 236 nt
Filed under: Populus trichocarpa (black cottonwood)
Lineage: Eukaryota; Viridiplantae; Streptophyta; Magnoliopsida; Malpighiales; Salicaceae
Description: long non-coding RNA (PTRI_LNC004179)
Source: RNAcentral
UUUUGGUGGUAGUUUUAAAAGGUAUGUAUUCUUUUUUCUUUAUCUUUGUAUUUUUUUUAUUUUUUUUAUGAUUAUUUUUUUUGGUGUUCUUUGUUUUGUGUAUUGUUUGUAGAUAAAAUCUUAAAUUCAACACACUAUUAAGGUAAGCAUUUUUUGUUCCCAAAUUUAUUUUGAAUUGAUAUAGUGUUUUUUAGUUUUGUGUAUUGUUUGUUUUGUGUUUAUGUUGUUUUGUGUAG